UACGAAGGGGGCAAGCGUUGUUCGGAAUUACUGGGCGUAAAGGGCGCGUAGGCGGCUUAUCAAGUCAGGCGUGAAAUUCCCGGGCUCAACCUGGGGGCUGCGCUUGAUACUGAUGAGCUUGAAUGCGGGAGAGGAUAGUGGAAUUCCCAGUGUAGAGGUGAAAUUCGUAGAUAUUGGGAAGAACACCAGUGGCGAAGGCGGCUAUCUGGCCCGUAAUUGACGCUGAGGCGCGAAAGCGUGGGGAGCAAAC
Molecule: ribosomal RNA, 250 nt
Filed under: uncultured Alphaproteobacteria bacterium
Lineage: Bacteria; Pseudomonadati; Pseudomonadota; Alphaproteobacteria
Description: partial 16S ribosomal RNA
Rfam family: Bacterial small subunit ribosomal RNA
Source: RNAcentral